This 236-nucleotide ribosomal RNA is filed under the name uncultured bacterium. Its description in RNAcentral is "partial 16S ribosomal RNA". It matches the Rfam family "Bacterial small subunit ribosomal RNA", at positions 100 to 339 of the family's 1533-position model. The record is from RNAcentral.
GAACGGGUGAGUAAUAUAUCGGAACGUACCCUAGAGUGGGGGAUAACGUAGCGAAAGUUACGCUAAUACCGCAUACGAUCUACGGAUGAAAGUGGGGGACCGCAAGGCCUCAUGCUCAUGGAGCGGCCGAUAUCUGAUUAGCUAGUUGGCGGGGUAAAAGCCCACCAAGGCGUCGAUCAGUAGCUGGUCUGAGAGGAUGAUCAGCCACACUGGGACUGAGACACGGCCCAGACUCC